Molecule: small nuclear RNA, 142 nt
Organism: Terrapene triunguis (Three-toed box turtle)
Lineage: Eukaryota; Metazoa; Chordata; Testudines; Emydidae
Gene: U4
Rfam family: U4 spliceosomal RNA
About the family: U4 small nuclear RNA (U4 snRNA) is a component of the major U2-dependent spliceosome. The structure of U4 snRNA from yeast and human has been reported. U4 snRNA presents a k-turn RNA motif in the 5p-SL related to recognition of Snu13 protein.
Source: Ensembl
GAUCUUGCACAGUGGCAGUAUCGUAGCCAAUGAGGUUAAUUCGAGGCGCGAAUAUUGCUAAUUUAAAUUUUUUUCCACAUGUUGAGAAGGAUCUUCUUAGUAGCCAAAGCGAUUCUCAAGUAUUUGAGACUGCUCAAAGACA